RNAcentral lists this small RNA (693 nucleotides) under Pongo abelii (Sumatran orangutan). Its description in RNAcentral is "processed transcript". Lineage: Eukaryota; Metazoa; Chordata; Mammalia; Primates; Hominidae. The record is from RNAcentral.
AAUGCGACAAGUCCCCGAUCCAGGCGUCCCGCUCUCCCCGGCCCCGCUCGCCAGGUCCUACCACGAUGCCUGACUCGUUUGCGGCUUUGGGACCGGUUGUAGGUGGCUUGACCGUCACUAGUAGACGUUUCUGAUUGUGUCGCGGUCACCAUGGUAACGACUUUAGCUUCCCUUCCGCCCUUGCGGUGACGUCACUGGCGGAGGCCGGACUGGGGGGAGGUUCCCUGCUCAAGCUCUCUUCUCUUGUCUGCCGCCAUGUGAGACGUGCCUUUGACCUUCUGCCAUGAUUGUGAGGCCUCCCCAGCCACGUGAAACUGGUCAUGAAAGACAAAGAUUGAGGAGGUUCAAUCACACAUUCUAAGGACAAAUCACAAGACCAAAGGAGAUGGGAUAACAAAAUGCAACAUGGUUGAGCAAGAGCUGGAUUUUAUGAAAAAAACAAAAAAAAAACAAAAAAAAACAAAAAAGACUUAAUCGAAAAUGCAAGGUGGGAUCCUGGAUUGGAUCCUCAAAUAGAAUAGUUUUUCUAUUAGUAGAAACAUUAGUAAAAUUUGAAUGAGGUCUGUAAUUUCUUUAAUAGUUUUGUUCUGGUGUUGGAUCUUGCUUUUAGUCAUUGUGCUAUGGUUAGGUAAGAUGUUAACAGCUGAGAUAACUGGGUGAAGAAUAUUCAGAAACUUAAUUUUUAUGACUUUU